This 460-nucleotide ribosomal RNA is filed under the name uncultured Latescibacterota bacterium. RNAcentral's name for it is "bacterial SSU rRNA". It matches the Rfam family "Bacterial small subunit ribosomal RNA", at positions 921 to 1382 of the family's 1533-position model. Lineage: Bacteria; Pseudomonadati; Candidatus Latescibacterota. The record is from RNAcentral.
CCGCACAAGCGGUGGAGCAUGUGGUUAAUUCGAUGAUACGCGAAGAACCUUACCGGGUUUGACAUGCAGGUGAUCGCCGUUGAAAGACGGUUUCCUCUUCGGAGGCACCUGCACAGGUGCUGCAUGGCUGUCGUCAGCUCGUGUCGUGAGAUGUUGGGUUAAGUCCCGCAACGAGCGCAACCCUUAUCCCCAGUUGCCAUCAGGUAAAGCUGGGAACUCUGGGGAGACUGCCGGUGAUAAACCGGGGAAGGCGGGGAUGACGUCAAGUCCUCAUGGCCCUUACAUCCCGGGCUACACACGUGCUACAAUGGCAGGUACAGAGGGCUGCGAAGCCGCGAGGUGGAGCGAAUCCCAGAAAACCUGUCUCAGUCCGGAUUGAAGUCUGCAACUCGACUUCAUGAAGGCGGAAUCGCUAGUAACCGCGAAUCAGCAGGUCGCGGUGAAUACGUUCCCGGGCCUU